GACGAACGCUGGCGGCGUGCCUAAUACAUGCAAGUCGAGCGCUGAAGGUUGGUACUUGUACCAACUGGAUGAGCGGCGAACGGGUGAGUAACGCGUGGGGAAUCUGCCUUUGAGCGGGGGACAACUUUUGGAAACGAAUGCUAAUACCGCAUAAUAACUUUAAACACAAGUUUUAAGAUUGAAAGACGCAAUUGCAUCACUCAAAGAUGAUCUCGCGUUGUAUUAGCUUGGUUGUGAGGUAAAGGCUCUACAAGGCGAAGGUACAUAACCCAACCGAGGGGGUGGUCGGCCACAUUGGGACCGGGACCACGCCCAAACCCCCUCGGGAGGGAGCAGUAGGGAAUCUUCGGGAAUAGGGGGAAGUCUGGCCGGAGAACGCCGGGUGAGUGAAGAAGGGUCUCGGGUCGUAAAACUCUGUUGGUAGGGAAGAACGAUGGUUGGAGGGGAAAGUGCACCAAGUGACGGUACCUACCCAGAAAGCGACGGCUAACUACGUG
This 497-nucleotide ribosomal RNA is filed under the name uncultured bacterium. Its description in RNAcentral is "partial 16S ribosomal RNA". It matches the Rfam family "Bacterial small subunit ribosomal RNA", at positions 28 to 507 of the family's 1533-position model. The record is from RNAcentral.